ACAACGAAGAGUUUGAUCCUGGCUCAGGAUGAACGCUAGCGGCAGGCUUAACACAUGCAAGUCGAGGGGUAAUCACGCUUUCGGGCGUGAACGACCGGCGCACGGGUGCGUAACGCGUAUACAAUUUGCCUUAAACUGGGAGAUAGCCCGAAGAAAUUUGGAUUAAUAUCCCAUAAUAUAUUUAUUUGGCAUCAUUUAGAUAUUAAAGUUACGGCGGUUUAAGAUGAGUAUGCGUCCUAUUAGCUAUUAUGUGAGGUAACGGCUUACAUAGGCUAUGAUAGGUAGGGGUUCUGAGAGGGAUACCCCCCACACUGGUACUGAGACACGGACCAGACUCCUACGGGAGGCAGCAGUGAGGAAUAUUGGACAAUGGGAGCAAUCCUGAUCCAG
This 390-nucleotide ribosomal RNA is filed under the name Salibacter sp. Its description in RNAcentral is "bacterial SSU rRNA". It matches the Rfam family "Bacterial small subunit ribosomal RNA", at positions 1 to 391 of the family's 1533-position model. Lineage: Bacteria; Pseudomonadati; Bacteroidota; Flavobacteriia; Flavobacteriales; Salibacteraceae. The record is from RNAcentral.